Triticum aestivum (bread wheat) is the source of this 676-nucleotide long non-coding RNA. RefSeq lists it as uncharacterized. The transcript has 3 exons. NCBI's taxonomy places the organism in Eukaryota, Viridiplantae, Streptophyta, Magnoliopsida, Poales, Poaceae. The record is from RefSeq and is a predicted model, not a curated record.
UUCCUAUAGUUACUGAACCAUCAACGCAUGCUCCACGGUCUCUGAGCGCACACCAAGAUGGACUUGCCUCUCCUGAAAGAUAUCAACAAGCAAUCAUUUUGAUGGAAAGUUAUGGCUAGGAUUGCAAGAGUCUGGGAGCUCAAAAGAAAAGACACAGGAACUACCUAUGAGGUGGACUUCCUACUGCUUGAUCGACAGGGUGGCACAAUGGAAGGUUUGAUUGCAGAGAAGAGAUUGGCCCAAUUUACGAAGCACAUUACCGAGGGAACAAUUUAUACAAUUGAGGACUUCAAUCUAUAUGAUGCCAAGAGCAGGUCUAGAUCUUCAGAUCACCCCCUCAGGGUAUGUUUCACAUUUCGCAUUAAGCUUAAAAAAGUGGAGCCCCAACCCGUGAAUUUCCCAAUAUUUGCCCACAACGCCAGGCCAUUCUCCGUGUUGGAAGCACGUGCUGAUCAAAACCACAUCUGAUCAGAUGUUAUUGGAGUAAUCGUGCAAGUUACAGAACUUUUGCCAGGCUCCAGCACAAACCCAGAUGAUCGCUGUCAGAUCUACAUCACUAAUGGAAAGUAGGCAAACACUGUCGUUUCCUGCCACUGCACCAAUCAUAAUCUGUUUCGCCAAUAAUUUUUGCUCUUCUUAUUGUCUGACAGCCAGCGGGCUGUGGUGAGACUUUGAG